GACGAACGCUGGCGGCGUGCUUAACACAUGCAAGUCGAACGGAAAGGCCCUGCUCUUGCGGGUUGCUCGAUUGGCGAACGGGUGAGUAACACGUGAGUAACCUGCCCUUGUCUUUGGGAUAACUUCAGGAAACUGCGGCUAAUAUCGGAUAGGAGCUCUUGCUGCAUGGUGGGGGUUGGAAAGUUUCGGCGGUUCGGGAUGGACUCGCGGCUUAUCCGCUUGUUGGUGGAGUAGUGGCUUACCAAGGUUUUGACGGGUAGCCGGCCUGAGAGGGUGACCGGCCACAUUGGGACUGAGAUACGGCCCAGACUCCUACGGGAGGCAGCAGUGGGGAAUAUUGCACAAUGGGCGGAAGCCUGAUGCAGCAACGCCGCGUGCGGGAUGACGGCCUUCGGGUUGUAAACCGCUUUCGCCUGUGACGAAGCGUGAGUGACGGUAAUGGGUAAAGAAGCACCGGCUAACUACGUG
Molecule: ribosomal RNA, 468 nt
Filed under: uncultured bacterium
Lineage: Bacteria
Description: partial 16S ribosomal RNA
Rfam family: Bacterial small subunit ribosomal RNA
Source: RNAcentral